UUUAUUGCAUUAUUUUUUUGAAAAUAAAUAUGCUAUGAUGCAAAUGAUGCAAACACGACUGGCUGGCUGUGUAUCUCGGAGCACAGGAUCAAAGCUUCGGCUUGAAUUCGGAACCACAAAGUCAUCUGAGACCCAAUCUGCAGAACCAAGUCACCAACAGGAGCCAAGAGUCACCAACAAGUCACCAACGGUCACCAACGGUACCUGUAAUAAUGAUCAUUCCCUCCCCACUCACGGGUGUCAUCUAGGUCAAGGUAAGGUUAAGAGAAAC
RNAcentral lists this long non-coding RNA (271 nucleotides) under Lathyrus oleraceus (garden pea). Its description in RNAcentral is "Pisum sativum (pea) long non-coding RNA (PSAT_LNC004990)". Lineage: Eukaryota; Viridiplantae; Streptophyta; Magnoliopsida; Fabales; Fabaceae. The record is from RNAcentral.